GAUGAACGCUAGCGAUAGGCUUAACACAUGCAAGUCGAGGGGCAGCAUGGUCUUAGCUUGCUAAGACUGAUGGCGACCGGCGCACGGGUGCAUAACGCGUAUGCAACUUGCCUCACAGAGGGGGAUAACCCGUCGAAAGACGGACUAAUACCGCGUACACUCCAGCUUGGGCAUCCAAGCUAGAGGAAAUGAAAUUCGCUGUGAGAUAGGCAUGCGUCCCAUUAGCUAGUUGGUGAGGUAACGGCUCACCAAGGCGACGAUGGGUAGGGGAACUGAGAGGUUGAACCCCCACACUGGUACUGAGACACGAACCAGACUCCUACGGGAGGCAGCAUUGAUGAAUAUUGUUCAAUGUGCUAUAGCCUGAUCCAGCCUGUUCGCUGGAAGGAUGAUUUGUUAUGUAUUGGAUCUUCUUUUAUGCUUUAAUAACAAGAGUCACGUUUGACUCCCUUCUUGUUUGUUAUGUGUAAGGAUCGGUGUUCUCUUGUUAUUGUCUGUGUGUUGCGGGGGUGUCUUCGUUUUCCUGAUUUUUUGGGGUUGAGGUUGGCUUAUGGUGUGUUGUUAAUUGUGUGGUUGAUUGUUGGAUGUGAUGCCUUAUGUUGCUGAUGUGUACCUGGCGGGUCUGUGUGUAGAUGUGUUGUGAUGAUCUGGUUGUGUUA
Molecule: ribosomal RNA, 659 nt
Filed under: uncultured Peptostreptococcus sp.
Lineage: Bacteria; Bacillati; Bacillota; Clostridia; Peptostreptococcales; Peptostreptococcaceae
Description: bacterial SSU rRNA
Rfam family: Bacterial small subunit ribosomal RNA (bases 1-524)
Source: RNAcentral